GCGCCCUUAGCUCAAUUUGGAUAGAGCAACGGCCUUCUAAGCCGUAGGUUAUAGGUUCAAAUCCUGUAGGGCGUA
Molecule: transfer RNA, 75 nt
Filed under: Arsenophonus sp.
Lineage: Bacteria; Pseudomonadati; Pseudomonadota; Gammaproteobacteria; Enterobacterales; Morganellaceae
Description: tRNA-Arg
Rfam family: tRNA
About the family: Transfer RNA (tRNA) molecules are approximately 80 nucleotides in length. Their secondary structure includes four short double-helical elements and three loops (D, anti-codon, and T loops).
Source: RNAcentral